GGCUCCGUAGCUAAAUCGGUAGAGGCAGACUUUAAUUAGUUCUCCAACGAUUUUAUAAUCGCGUGGUGUAGGUUCAAGUCCUACCGGAGCAA
RNAcentral lists this transfer RNA (92 nucleotides) under Erwinia phage vB_EamM_Huxley. It matches the Rfam family "tRNA". Rfam says of the family: Transfer RNA (tRNA) molecules are approximately 80 nucleotides in length. RNAcentral also lists the same sequence under 1 other name. The record is from Rfam by way of RNAcentral. Lineage: Duplodnaviria; Heunggongvirae; Uroviricota; Caudoviricetes; Chimalliviridae.